GAGAAGGGAGACACAAAAGAAUUCAGGCGGUUAGUCCUUCGUUCUUUUGGAAAAGGGGAGAAGAGAGACACAAAAAGAAUUCAAGCGGUUAGUCCUUGGCGAAUUCUUUUUGGCAAAGGGAGUAGAGAAUGAAAAAGAUGAAUAACACACUUUUGUUUUCUGUGAAAGAACAAGGUUUGGAAACCAGAAAACUUUGAAAGCUUUUGGCAAAGGAAGAAGAAGAAGAAGAAGAUAUUCAAAAGUAAAUUGGAAAAGUU
RNAcentral lists this long non-coding RNA (257 nucleotides) under Glycine max (soybean). Its description in RNAcentral is "long non-coding RNA (GMAX_LNC000154)". The record is from RNAcentral. Lineage: Eukaryota; Viridiplantae; Streptophyta; Magnoliopsida; Fabales; Fabaceae.